This 1311-nucleotide long non-coding RNA is filed under the name Homo sapiens (human). RNAcentral's name for it is "non-protein coding lnc-GPALPP1-7:1". Lineage: Eukaryota; Metazoa; Chordata; Mammalia; Primates; Hominidae. The record is from RNAcentral.
GCAUUCUACUGUUUCUCUCCUUGCAGGGGCCCUUGAAUCUUUCUUCAAUCUACUCUCGCGUCUUUCGUGAUCUCAUCCAGUCUCCUGGUGCUAGGUACCAUGUCGACACCAAUGUAGACACUAGAUUGGAUGAGUCAUUGUUCACAAUUCCUCACAAAACUCCUGCAAAGUCCAAAAGAACUGGGGUUUGAAUGUUAGAGGCUGGUGAAGAAGUGAGGACCACGGGGCGUCAUAACACCGCGCAGUGGAGGCCACGCUGCACUGGCCGGUGUCCGCCGACAGGGUGUGUGCCACAGACGCGCAGUGCCUUGCCCGAAUCUGUCCCUCCCCUCAGCGCUGGUCCAGGCUGGCCACAGGCACCACCCCGUCCCUGAAAGUGGAUCUUUUCCUCUGAAAAAACAGGAAUGAGAACUGCCCGGAAGCCUGGAACAUUCCAGGUUCUGAUGACUCAGCGGCUGAAGGCAGGAUUUGUGUCACCGAAAGCAGCCAGAGUGGCGGUCUGUAAAUGUAGCUUAGAAAAGUGGAGAAAGUCUCUUACUGCAGGCGUUCAUGAUAGAUGGAAACUCCGUGUGGUUUCCAAGGCCCUCCUCGAUUUGAAGCAUUUCAAGGGAGCGGUUGAUGCCUUAGCAGUCUACUGUUUGAAUUAGGGAAAUGCAAAGAGUCAGCCAUUGGGGAUAGCCGGCGGAGAGGAGCUGUGGCUCUGGUGUCCUCAGUGGCUUAAGCUACACAUAAGUUGUGUUUACUAGCAGAAACUGUGUUAAUGGAAGUCUGGGGACAAAUUGUGGAAGUUUCGAACAGUUCAACUAGCAGAGGACACUUUGAAGCCCACUUAAAAGCUAAGAUCACUCCUCACACCCCCAACUGCCGCAGGGACUUAGAAGGUCCUCCUUCUCCCUCUCAGGCUAAGGUUCAUCUGUGACAUUCAUCCUCAACAGAGGAGGGGCGAGAAUAGACUGGAAAUAGAAAUUGUUCUGCCUCGCACUCAUUACCACGAAGAAGCUCCCCAACAGGGAAUGAACGCAACCCAACAUAAUUAAAAGUGAAUAUGGGCCGGGCGCGGUGGCUCACGCCUGUAAUCCCAACACUUUGGGAGGCUGAGGAGAGUGGCUCACAUCUGAGGUCAGGAGUUCGAGGCCAGCCUGGCCAAUGUGGAGAAACCCCCGUCUCUAUUAAAAAUGCAAAAAUUAGCCGGGCGUGGUGGCGCACGCCUGUAAUCUCAGCUACUUGGGAGGCCGAGGCAGGGAGAAUCGCUUGAACCGGGGAAGUGGAGGUUGUAGUGAGCUGAGAUCAUGCCACUGUACUCCAGCCUGG